CACGGUCCAGACUCCUACGGGAGGCAGCAGUGGGGAAUAUUGCACAAUGGGCGCAAGCCUGAUGCAGCCAUGCCGCGUGUGUGAAGAAGGCCUUCGGGUUGUAAAGUACUUUCAGCGGGGAGGAAGGCGUUUAGGUUAAUAACCUCGGCGAUUGACGUUACCCGCAAAAGAAGCACCGGCUAACUCCGUGCCAGCAGCCGCGGUAAUACGGAGGGAGCAAGCGUUAAUCGGAAUUACUGGGCGUAAAGCGCACGCAGGCGGUCUGUCAAGUCGGAUGUGAAAUCCCCGGGCUCAACCUGGGAACUGCAUUCGAAACUGGCAGGCUAGAGUCUUGUAGAGGGGGGUAGAAUUCCAGGUGUAGCGGUGAAAUGCGUAGAGAUCUGGAGGAAUACCGGUGGCGAAGGCGGCCCCCUGGACAAAGACUGACGCUCAGGUGCGAAAGCGUGGGGAGCAAACAGGAUUAGAUACCCUGGUAGUCCACGCCGUAGACGAUGUCUAUUCGGAGGUUGUGCCCUUGAGGCGUGACUUCCGGAGCUAACGCGUUAAAUCGACCGCCUGGGGAGUACCGCCGCAAGGUUAGUACUCAGAUGAAUUUACGGGGGCCCGCACAGGCGGUGGAGCAGGUGGUUUAUUCGAGGCAGCGCGAAGCACCUUAGCUGCUCUUGACAUCCAAAGAAUU
This 679-nucleotide ribosomal RNA is filed under the name Klebsiella pneumoniae. RNAcentral describes it as "bacterial SSU rRNA". It matches the Rfam family "Bacterial small subunit ribosomal RNA", at positions 325 to 997 of the family's 1533-position model. Lineage: Bacteria; Pseudomonadati; Pseudomonadota; Gammaproteobacteria; Enterobacterales; Enterobacteriaceae. The record is from RNAcentral.